This 1049-nucleotide long non-coding RNA is filed under the name Numida meleagris (helmeted guineafowl). Its description in RNAcentral is "lncRNA (ENSNMEG00000018611.1)". The record is from RNAcentral. Lineage: Eukaryota; Metazoa; Chordata; Aves; Galliformes; Numididae.
CUUUAUUCUAUUCCUUUAAUAUACAUGCUGUAUAGUCACAAAUAUGGAUCUUCAGGAAGCUGACGUGUAAGGGGACCAGACCCCUUGUUACCAUCAAAUUGUUUUUCUUGCUGGAGCUGUACAGUUACUCUGUGCAUGUCCCAGCUCCUUGAUGGGACUGAGAUGUCUGAAGUGGUUUCAGCUCAGUGGAAAUGAAGCGUGAAAACAUGAAAUAAGCCCACGUUGUUUUUCACAUACAGUGAUUUUCUGUACUUGAUACAGGCAGUAUUAGUGAGUUCACCAGUUAGUUUUGCGGUAUGCUUUCUAUUAUGAAGCAUAAAACGUUCUAGAAUUCCAAAAGCAGUUAACUUGAGCACUCAUUAGAAGUAUUAAUACUUAACAGGAACUCAUAUAGUCAACUUAAUGGAAACGUGCCAUUGUAACACUCUGAUCACUUUCUCUGAGUGUUCAGAAUAUGUGUGGGCUACUUACUAGACUAAAAUCAGAGAGAUUGCUAUUAUCCUGGGAUCACUAUCUUUGAUGGACCCUUGAGCUGUGUGCAGAACCCUCCAGUGGGUCUGUCUGCCAGAAAGACACCAACCUGCAGUACCUGCUAUGUCCCCAUGGACCUAUGAUGCUCACAGGUGUUGUAGUCACUUAGUUAAAUCAAAGAUUUCUUCCUGAUGCCAGAAGAGAUCUGGAGGCAGAGGUUCCACUUCUGUAAUCAUUGGCAGUGACAAAGGGAGUGGCCAAGAGCAAUCUGUGCACACAAAUAAGUGCAUUUACAGGACAAGAAUAAAAAAAAAAGUGAAGCUGUUCUACAUCUCUGAAUGGUUCCCUUCCAUGGUCCCCAGCAGAAUUCCAAUCAAGCAGUUAUGGUGCGGAAGGCAAGGUAAGAGUAAUUGCUAGAUAACUAUGUCAUGUUUUAAGGAAGGGUGGAGUAAUGGCAGGACUGUAGUGUAGUAUUUGAAACUCUUGAUGUUCCUCAAAAUAGACACAUGAAAAUAGCAUACUGUGUUUGAGCAUGCCUCUGGAGCAAAUUCUGUAAAGUUCAUCGUAAGUAUACUUUA